ACUGAUAUGUCACUGAUUUUUGCCCUUGUCCUUAAAUCCUCAACCUUUCUUGGCUUUUCACUUGGCUUCAUAGCAUAUUGCUUUUUCUUUGAUAAACAACAUAUCCAUAACAAUUUAGUGUAAAUUUAGUUUAUUACUUGAUUUUAGUAAACUUCAACCAAAGUGAUUAAGCGCAGGUGGUGCUUAAUGAACUCCAGUUAAAGACGAAUUGUUCAGAAGAAUCAGAAUUUGAAUUCUGACUAGAACAAUAUAUUUAGUCAGACUUUACUUGUCUCGUAGUUGAAUUUCAUAUUACCACCAACCCUUCUCCCACACCAGAAUAGUUAAAACCAAAAAGAAGUGUCGCAACUCGCAACUAAGAUCACCACGUGAGGAGGUGUGUAAUAGCAUUACAUCUACCUUGUUUACAUGAUUGUUUACACAAAAAAGUACAUUGACAAAUCUUUCUUACCAAUCUUAGUU
This 462-nucleotide long non-coding RNA is filed under the name Trifolium pratense (red clover). RNAcentral describes it as "long non-coding RNA (TPRA_LNC007187)". Lineage: Eukaryota; Viridiplantae; Streptophyta; Magnoliopsida; Fabales; Fabaceae. The record is from RNAcentral.